RNAcentral lists this long non-coding RNA (701 nucleotides) under Prunus dulcis (almond). RNAcentral's name for it is "sRNA ncRNA". The record is from RNAcentral. Lineage: Eukaryota; Viridiplantae; Streptophyta; Magnoliopsida; Rosales; Rosaceae.
UAUGUACUUUGUUUCUGCAGGUGUAAAUGGCUAAGUAAUUUCUAACUCUUGAUGCAGGUUCGGUGAAGUGGGGCCCGAUCUCCAAACAGCAAGAGGACGAGGUUGAGUGGGUGAGGGCGCAGCUAUCCGAGGCUGAGCGUGAGUGCGGGAACUUGGUCACGCAGAAGAACUUGUUUGAGUCCGGACUGCUGCAAGGAAGUAAGUACCUGGGUUAUCUUUUUAUUUGUGUGCUGAACCUUUGUGAGUUUGACUAAUAUAAUUGCUUUGUUUGUUUUGGCAGUGGCUGGCAUCAUAAGGGGAAGCACGAAGGUGGCCGUGGACAUUGAUGAGGCCGAGAUGCAGAAGCGGCUGAGGGAGUCGCGGGCCAAGAAAGCUGAAAAGAGUGCCGGAAAACGACCCAGGGAUGAUGAUGAGGGUCGGGUUGCGGAUGUGCUGGGCAAGAGGAAAGCUAUAGAGGAGGCGCACCAGCAUGUGAUGGGCUCGGGGCCGAGACUUCCGCCUUUUGAUCUGCAGGCCCCGCCGAAGCUACCCUUCGGCAUGGAGGAUGUAUUCGCCGAGGGGGUAGAGAAGGUUGACUUCGGCAGGCUUCGGCAGCAGAAGAAGGAGGUCAACCUGGCGAUGCACCGACAGGAGGUGCCCUUGGUGAACGUCUUCUUGGAAGGCGUGAAGAGCGACCCCGAGGCCCUGGCAAAGACUCCAGC